This 253-nucleotide ribosomal RNA is filed under the name uncultured bacterium. RNAcentral describes it as "partial 16S ribosomal RNA". It matches the Rfam family "Bacterial small subunit ribosomal RNA", at positions 524 to 776 of the family's 1533-position model. The record is from RNAcentral.
GACGAACCGUGCGAACGUUGUUCGGAAUCACUGGGCUUAAAGGGCGCGUAGGCGGGCUGACAAGUCUGGGGUGAAAUCCCACGGCUCAACCGUGGAACUGCCUUAGAUACUGUCGGCCUCGAGGAAGGUAGGGGCAUGCGGAACUGUAGGUGGAGCGGUGAAAUGCGUAGAUAUCGUUUGGAACGCCAAAGGUGAAAACAGACAGCUGGGAGUGUGCUGACGCUGAGACACGAAAGCCAGGGGAGCGAACGGG